AUGGCGUCUUCUGGCGGCGCGCGCUCACCGGCGGCGGUGGUCUUAGACGACCUUGUGGAUGUUCGCGACCGCGUGGCUAUGCUGCAGACCGUGCUGCAGGAGUCUUCGCCUGGGGCGACCGUAGAAGCGGGGGAGCUGGUGGAGGGGAUGACGGCCAAGCUGUCAAGCGCCUUGUCGGCCGUUCUCGGCACCGGCGACGGCAGCGUGGCGUCGUCGUCGUCGGGAGCAGGCGGGGGACCGGGCGGGAGGAGGAGGAGAACCGGCGCGGCGUCGUCCGGGCCGCACCGCCGGAGCAGCUCCAGGGGAAGGAUGAAGAGCCCUCUAAUCAAGACGGUCACCGCUACGACGCUCACAGAUGGCAAGUCAUGGAGGAAGUACGGACAGAAACAGAUAAAUGACUCAACUAACCCGAGGAGCUACUACAGGUGCACGCAUUUGCCAGAUCAAGGCUGCAAGGCCAAGAGGCACGUCCACGUAUCCGAGGCCAACCCGUCGGAGUACACCAUCGACUACUACGGCCAGCACACCUGCAGGGACCCCUCCACGUUCCCAUCGCUCAUCGUCCAAGGUGCCGCCGACACUGCCCCGCCGCCGGACUGCGCAAACCUCAUCAGCUUCGCGCCCAUCAAUGGAGCCAACCGCGCUUUCACCGCAAGCACGAGCACGAGCGCUUUUGCUCAUCAUCUUAUGAAAGAACCGGUUGAUCAUCAUCCAAUGCUCUUCUCCCAAUUCUCCAACUACAGCUCCUCGCCGCCGGCUCAGGAGGGUAUACCCAGUGGCUCGUCAUCGCGGGCUUGCCACGAAAGGUUCAUGCAGUACGCCGGCGGGCAAUUUGUGGACAUAACUGGCCGGAGUACGUCGCCGUUGACCGUGGGAUCAGCCCCAGCUGAGUACUGGCCAGUGGUGGGUGUUGCCGGUGUCGACAUGGAUGCUGGCGCGGGCAUGGACAGCUUCCCUUCCUCGCCGAGCAGCCUCGGGUUCAUGUCGGGAUCGUUGGGGGGAUCAUUUGGCAACACCGUUUGCGACGACGACCUGUUCAGCUUUGAUUCCUGA
Molecule: ribosomal RNA, 1053 nt
Filed under: Triticum aestivum (bread wheat)
Lineage: Eukaryota; Viridiplantae; Streptophyta; Magnoliopsida; Poales; Poaceae
Description: partial small subunit ribosomal RNA
Source: RNAcentral